CCGCCUAGGUGCUCUGUAGUUAGGUCCCAACCUGAUCGAUAUGCUCCUCCUCUUUUGUGAUCGGCGCGGGGCAGCAGAGCUCAAAGGCAAAAGUUACAAGAUGACAAGCUUACUUGGCAUGCUGUUCUCAAACAACUUGUAACGUUUGUCUUCCAGCUCUGCUUCCCUGAGCCAAUCAUGAAGGAGCAGAGCCUUACAAAAAGGGUGGGACAUAACAUGAGGGGCAUGUAUACCUCGCCUAUAUACAGAACACCUGGGCGGUCUGCUCCCACCCAGGCUCUGC
Molecule: non-coding RNA, 283 nt
Organism: Pelobates cultripes (western spadefoot toad)
Lineage: Eukaryota; Metazoa; Chordata; Amphibia; Anura; Pelobatidae
Source: the annotation of a GenBank genome assembly